AUUGAACGCUGGCGGCAGGCCUAACACAUGCAAGUCGAACGGUAACAGGAAACAGCUUGCUGUUUCGCUGACGAGUGGCGGACGGGUGAGUAACGCGUAGGAAUAUACCUUGAAGUGGGGGGUAACUUGGGGAAACUCAAGCUAAUACCGCAUAAGCUCUUAGGAGGAAAGCUGGGGACCGCAAGGCCUGGCGCUUUGAGAUUAGCCUGCGUCCGAUUAGCUAGUUGGUGGGGUAAAGGCCUACCAAGGCGACGAUCGGUAGCUGGUCUGAGAGGAUGAUCAGCCACACUGGAACUGAGACACGGUCCAGACUCCUACGGGAGGCAGCAGUGGGGAAUAUUGGACAAUGGGGGCAACCCUGAUCCAGCAAUGCCGCGUGUGUGAGGAAGGCCUGAGGGUUGUAAAGCACUUUCAGUGGGGAGGAGGGCAAUUAGGUUAAGAGCUAGAUUGUUGGACGUUACCCACAGAAGAAGCACCGGCUAACUCCGUGCCAGCCGCCGCCGUAA
Molecule: ribosomal RNA, 506 nt
Filed under: uncultured bacterium
Lineage: Bacteria
Description: partial 16S ribosomal RNA
Rfam family: Bacterial small subunit ribosomal RNA
Source: RNAcentral